AUUGAAAAAGCAGAGAUAGAUAAGGCACACGAGAAUUAACGAGGUUCGGCAACGUGCCUACGUCCUCAAAACAAUAACUAGAUUCACUUAGACAAUCUUUACAACAAGACCUUGCCUAACUGGAAUUACACGACACUAAGAACCUCUUAGUUCGACACCAAACAAUAUCUAGUUACACCCAGUAUUAGAACAACUAAACCCGUGUUCCAGCAAGCAGCUCGACUUGCCUACAAAAGCACCGAAACAGAGCAAUUCGUUUUUCUCUCUCUCUUUUCGGCUCGCCCUAGCAACACACAUCUCCCUAGUAUAUAUACCCAUAUACCUAUGAGAUAUGUCACCCUAGAUUUUAUCCCGAUACAAAAGGAAAAUAUCCUCUUCUAAAUAAAAGAAACAAAUCUUCAAUAAUAUUCUUCUCCAAGAAUAUCUUCAAUUGCACGUUUCUUCUGAUUUGAUCUCUCUAAAUAUCUUUCUGAUAUUUAUCUUCAACUCCACGAGCCACGUCAGCACCAACCAAGCAAUCCCAAACUUGUUCCAACAGACCGUUUCUUGUUCCAGCAAGAUCUGCACUUUCAUUCUCCCCCUUUUUAACUGAGUUUUACAACUCAAGCUCACCAUAAUUAUCACGCAUCCCCAGCAAGACAUCAUGAUAUACAAACUCCCCCUUAAUCAUAUAUCACUGUGAUAAUUAACUCUCCAUGGAUCUUCUACUCUCCAUGGAUCUUCUACAUUCUCCCCCUGCUUGAGUGAUAAAACUUUGUUAAAAAAAAUACUUGCUGGAAUAUUCUCCUCGAUCAGAAUCGUCUUCCACUUGGAUCUCUCCAAUAACUCUCAUUUCUAAAUCUGAACUUUUUCUUCGCAAACUUUGCUUGAUCAUUUGACAUGUGCUUCAAACACCUACAUGUGCAGCACAUCAUCUUCCUUGGAGUAUUGGUUGAUGACUUAUGAGACACAUCACCAUACAAAUCCAUCUUCUUAAUCCAAACCUUUUGAAAUCUCCUUGAAUCUUGAACAAACUUCUUUUGCUUUAAUGCACAUCUAAUCUUGUCAAGGAACUUAUAGCAGUAGGCCUUGAUAUGCCCUUUCUUUCCACAAUAAAAGCAUCCUGAAGUACAAAACACUUUUUGGUGACUCUUCUGGGUUUCAGUUCCAACAGAAUUCAGCUUGUUCCAGCUAACAACACAUGUUCUUAAAUUUGAUGAACUUUUGUUGCAUCCACGAACAUAACUCAUCUUCUUCUCAUCAGAAAUACAUGGACUGGUACUUUUGACUUGUACAUUAUGCUCAUCCAUCGGAGUUAUGAUGAGACUUUUUGCGGUCGUCUCCAACAGGUUUUCCUUUGUUCCAGCAGAUUUCGACAGAUUCUCUUGAACAAAAAUAGUCUUUGAAUCAGAUGUACCUCCUUGAUAACCAAGACCAAAUCUUGUUUUCUCUGUUCUUCCCAUGCUUAGUAUUUGAUCUAGGUUCUUUGUUCCAUUAUUCAACAUCCUCAAGUACUUUUCAUUCUGCAUGAGUUCAUCCUCCAACCGUUUGGAUUUUUCUUUUUCUGCUGCAAGUUCCUCCUUCACGUUUAGCAUAUGAACAACUUCAUGAUCUUCAUUCUUCAAAGCACAAGAACACUUUUGAUUUUCAGCAAGCUUGAUUUUCAAUUUCUCUGAUUCUUCUUUCUCAAGAGUUAGCUCUUUCUCGAUAUUCUUCAUCUUACUUUCCAUCAACAUCUUCUCAUCGAUUAGUACCAUGUAGUCUUUACUUUUCUUAACCCAACUCUCAUAAAGACUUUUGAAUUCAGCUUGAAGAUCCACCUCUUGAUCGCUUUCUAAAUCGCUGCUUGUGUUGGAGUAUUCGCUACUUAUUUCAGCAGUUGAUAUAGAAUCAGAUAUUUCGCUUCCUUCUUUGUGCUCCACGAAUGAAGGUAAUGCCACGAAGUUGGCUAACUCCUCUUCAUCAUCUGUUUCACUCUCACUAGAGUCUUCAUAGAUAUUUCUUUUUAUCUUCACACCGUCGACACACUCAGAUUUUGUAUGUCCAUAACCGUUACAUCCUAAGCAACGAACCUUUUUCUUCUUCUUGAUACUCGGACAUGCAGACUUGAUGUGUCCAAAUCCUCUACAUUCAUGGCACUGUAUACCACGUCUUCCUUCUCCCACAUUUUUGUAUGUGCCAUGAUCAUUUUCCAAAGAGUUCUUACCCCUUUUUCCAACGUCUUUAAGAAGUUUCCCAAACAUCUUCACAAGUGAGCUCAUAGAUUCUUCUAAAUUUUGUAUUCUCAACUUGUCAUCAUUCUCAUAUAGAGUUGGUCUAUUGACACUAUUUGAAAUGACAUCCUGUUGGUCCAUCUCAUACGCUUGUAGUCUCCCAACUAUUUCAUCAAAUGGGGUCUCAUCCGUGUUAAAAGCAGUUUCCAUAGCCGCCUUUUGUGCCUCGAAUCUCUUAGGCAAACAUCGCAGCAACUUCUUGACAAGCUUCUUGUCUUUGUACGUCUUCCCAAUCACAUGUGCUUCAUUAGCAAUCGCACACAGCUUAGCACUAAAAUCUGUAACAUUUUCGUGCUCAUCCAUUCGUAGAUUCUCAAAUUGAGAAGCUAGCCUGUCAAUUCUUGAUAUCUUCACACUUUUUGUUCCUUCAAAAACUUUUUCUAGCUUAUCCCACGCUUCUUUGGCUGAUUCACACCCUUGAAUCAACUUGAAUUGAUUCUUGUUAACCGAGGUAAAAAUAGUAGAUAAAGCUUUUGCAUUAUACCUUGACAUAGUCUUCUCAUUCUUUGUCCAUUUAGCCUUUGGUUUAGUGACAAUAGAACCGUCUCUUUCUUCAAUUUUUGGGACUUCAUAGCCAUCUUCCACAGCCGUCCAAGCAUCCUCAUCAAUACCUUGUAUGAUUGCCUUCAUAUUCACCUUCCAAUAUCCAUAGUUUUCAGCAUCUAACGCAAGACUUUUAACUGCCAACCAUUCUCGAAAUAUAUCAUCCAUCUCUUUCCUCAGGAUCCUCACCCGUUUGUGGAGUUAGACUCUUUACAGAUGCCCGCUCUGAUACCAAUUGAAAAAGCAGAGAUAGAUAAGGCACACGAGAAUUAACGAGGUUCGGCAACGUGCCUACGUCCUCAAAACAAUAACUAGAUUCACUUAGACAAUCUUUACAACAAGACCUUGCCUAACUGGAAUUACACGACACUAAGAACCUCUUAGUUCGACACCAAACAAUAUCUAGUUACACCCAGUAUUAGAACAACUAAACCCGUGUUCCAGCAAGCAGCUCGACUUGCCUACAAAAGCACCGAAACAGAGCAAUUCGUUUUUCUCUCUCUCUUUUCGGCUCGCCCUAGCAACACACAUCUCCCUAGUAUAUAUACCCAUAUACCUAUGAGAUAUGUCACCCUAGAUUUUAUCCCGAUACAAAAGGAAAAUAUCCUCUUCUAAAUAAAAGAAACAAAUCUUCAAUAAUAUUCUUCUCCAAGAAUAUCUUCAAUUGCACGUUUCUUCUGAUUUGAUCUCUCUAAAUAUCUUUCUGAUAUUUAUCUUCAACUCCACGAGCCACGUCAGCACCAACCAAGCAAUCCCAAACUUGUUCCAACAGACCGUUUCUUGUUCCAGCAAGAUCUGCACUUUCAA
This 3602-nucleotide long non-coding RNA is filed under the name Arabidopsis lyrata. RNAcentral describes it as "long non-coding RNA (ALYR_LNC001062)". Lineage: Eukaryota; Viridiplantae; Streptophyta; Magnoliopsida; Brassicales; Brassicaceae. The record is from RNAcentral.